Molecule: long non-coding RNA, 437 nt
Organism: Gymnodraco acuticeps
Lineage: Eukaryota; Metazoa; Chordata; Actinopteri; Perciformes; Bathydraconidae
Exons: 3
Source: RefSeq, a predicted model, not a curated record
AGUCCUUUUUCAUCUUCUCGCUGCGCAGGUAAAUACUUUUUGAGUAGAAGCCAAGCUAGCUUAUUGAAAAUUAAGAUCCUAGCUUAUCGCUACCUGUAGCCUUGUGAUCGUCUCGAUCGGAGCUGCGGGCUAGGAAAACGCUCGCCCUCCAAAGGCUGCGACGAGCUAGCUGUCCGCCCUCCCAAGGGAGGGGACUGCGGUGUUCACCGCUCGGACCCUAGGAGCUCCGGACCGGUAAAGAGCGGACGCUCCUGCACGUCAGCCGUUGUCGGCACGAGAGCCCCGUGAUGAAAUGCCUCCUCCAGUCGGCGUCUGUCAUCGUGAGAGGCUGAACCGACUCGUCUGUCAGCGCAGAUGAAAGGGCGUUUAUCGGACUGAAUAUUUUGCCAGUAGUGCUGUGGAACAUCCAGGUGCUCUUUUGCAAACUUCAAACGUGC